UACGAAGGGUGCAAGCGUUACUCGGAAUUACUGGGCGUAAAGCGUGCGUAGGUGGUUUGUUAAGUCUGUUGUGAAAGCCCCGGGCUCAGCCUGGGAAUGGCAAUGGAUACUGGCAAGCUAGAGUGCGGUAGAGGGUAGUGGAAUUCCCGGUGUAGCGGUGAAAUGCGUAGAGAUCGGAAGGAACAUCAGUGGCGAAAGCGACUUCCUGGACCAGUACCGACGUUCAGGCACGAAAGCGUGGGGAGCAAACAGG
Molecule: ribosomal RNA, 253 nt
Filed under: uncultured bacterium
Lineage: Bacteria
Description: partial 16S ribosomal RNA
Rfam family: Bacterial small subunit ribosomal RNA
Source: RNAcentral